This 461-nucleotide ribosomal RNA is filed under the name uncultured Bacteroidota bacterium. RNAcentral's name for it is "bacterial SSU rRNA". It matches the Rfam family "Bacterial small subunit ribosomal RNA", at positions 338 to 795 of the family's 1533-position model. The record is from RNAcentral. Lineage: Bacteria; Pseudomonadati; Bacteroidota.
CCUACGGGGGGCUGCAGUAAGGAAUAUUGGACAAUGGCCGCAAGGCUGAUCCAGCCAUCCAGCGUGCAGGAAGAAGGCCCUAUGGGUUGUAAACUGCUUUUAUCAGGGAAUAAACCUCUGGAUUCACUCCGGAGCUGAAGGUACCUGAAGAAUAAGCACCGGCUAACUCCGUGCCAGCAGCCGCGGUAAUACGGAGGGUGCGAGCGUUAUCCGGAAUUACUGGGUUUAAAGGGUGCGUAGGCGGCUUUGUAAGUCAGGAGUGAAAGUUUGCGGCUCAACCGUAAAAUUGCUUCUGAUACUGCAUGGCUAGAAUUAGGAUGAGGUCAGCGGAAUGUGGCAUGUAGCGGUGAAAUGCAUAGAUAUGCCAUAGAACACCAAUUGCGAAGGCAGCUGGCUAGACCUGGAUUGACGCUGAGGCACGAAAGCGUGGGGAGCGAACAGGAUUAGAUACCCCGGUAGUC